GCUUAUAUAAAAACUUAUUUCUGUUUUUUUUGGCUUGUUAGCUGUACAUCUUGUCACACAGCAGCUUUUAGGCAUUAUUCAGUUUUUUGUUAUAAGCCAGAAAUGACAAGGAGACGGCCUCUCGCAAUACAAAGUCAAUGGAGACGGUUGGAUUGUUCCCCCCGGCGGGCAUGGUUUUCAAAUUUGCAUAACUGUGCUCUGUCACUAUGUUUACAUCAUGAAAAAAUACAAUUAACUUAUGUAAGUAGUAAAUAUUUUUCUGUGACACAUGAUGAUUCUUUUACAGUUAAAGUGCCGUUACAUUUCUGUACUUAGCCAGUGGCUAACUAUAAAUGAUAACACUUGUGUAUUACAUAAUAAUAGUAUAGCAUUUUGAUAUAAUGUCUGUUGAUACUGUAGCCUACUGAAAUGGAACAUACACAUAUUUAAGCACAUAUUGUCCACCCAAUUCUUUUUCUUUCCGUAAUUUGUUGCAGUAUGAUCUACUUAUGAUGUUCGUAUUCCUAACAUAUUGGUGUAAUAAUUUCUAUUGACUGUAUAAAGUUAAACAUUAUAUUUCUCACGAUUCUAUUCAGACUGACUGUAUAUGAUUAUAGACAUAGCAAAUUGAUUGGUCAGUGUUAAUUUCUCUCUAGAUUGUAUAAAAUUAAUCUGCACAUUGACUCGGAUAUUCAGUGAUGGUUUAUUCUUCUUUCUUUUUCACUUUAGAAAACAGUCUUUGCUAUGUAAGUAUUCUUUUUGAUUUACACUUUCCAACUUGUCACACACCUAUAUAAUAUAUAAGAGUUUUUGGUGAUUUGUUUCUUCUUUUUGUGAUUUAAUUUUUUCUUCCUUUUUUUUCUCUUAACAGUAUAACACAAACCAUAUAAGCGAACCCAAAGGCUCUUUUAAGAGCCAUCUGGAAUCACAGGUAAGUACAUAUUUGUUGCUGUCAUUCAAGUUAUUUUAGAUUCAAACAUGCCCUGCUCAUCCAUUCAGACGAGGCAUUCUGCUGUUUUCAUGCAGUUUAUUUUUAUUAUGGAACAUAUUAUUAUUUAAUUUUUUGCCAAACCCAGAGCUAUAACUAAAUAUUCCAAAAUUAUUGGGAGUAUUGGGACUUGAUAUUAACCUGAAUUAAUCCUUAUACAUUUAUCUAAAGUCUGUUUAUUGAAAUGAAUAAUAUUUGCAUUGUGUUUUUACAUUGUUAUGAUUAUUUCAUUUCUUUAUUAUACCUUUUUUCUUUUGUUUGCAGUCUUGGUCAUCUCUGGAGAAGCUCACUAUUGUUGGUCAUCUCUGGAGAAGCUCACUAUUAGAUUGGACAUCUUGUCCAUCCAGUGUUGGUCAUCCCUGGAGAAGCUUACUAUUAGAUUGGAAGUCUUGUUCAUCUAGGUAAGUAUAAUUGUUAAACAGAGGUUUUUACAACAUGAAAAAAUAUACAUUGAAAAAUGGGAAUGUUGAUUAAUAAGAUUAAAAAAAGAAAAUUCCAUCUUCAUUAAUACCAAAAAUGUAAGUUACUUAUUGAUGUAUUCAAAAUGAUUAUUGAUUCAUGCAGUGGCAAUUGUUCUUAUUUGCAUUUAAUUCCUGUACUUAAAUAUAAGCGUGUUUGUCUGUAUUAACAAUGUAACUAACUUGUUUUUUUUGUGUGUGUGUGUGUUUGUUUGUAUCUAUCCUGUCCUGUCUUAUCAACACCUUUUAUCCAUUUGCACUCAAACCUUUACUCUGCUUAUUUGCUUAAACCUUUGCCAUUUCUUCACUUUCUCUUCCCAAACUGAAAAAAAAUCUGGCCUUGCAUCCCCAAACGCCGCUGCUCUGCUUGCUGCUUGCUUGCUAUGCAACCCAAACGCAACCAAUCUGCAAUCUCCUCAUGCAAAACAAACCCAAACGCACUGAAGCAGCUUGCUAACGCACCUUAAAAAAAAACGAGCCAGAAACCCAAACUUUGAACCCAAAAACCAAACCCAAACUUUGAACCCAAAAACCAAACCCAAACUUUAAACCCAAUAACCACCCACAAAUAAAUAAAGAAUUGAUUUACAGUGCCGGACAGCCUGAAAGAGGAACCAGCUCCAGUCUGCCCUGCUGCCUUCCUGAUCUGAGGACGAUCAAUCAACAUCCAUCCAAACACACACACACACACACACACACACAUUUGUUUGAUAACCAACUGUUAUCCAAAUUGUCCAAAUUGUCUAUCUUUUGGGUGUCAUUCAGGGCCGGAGUGGGACUCAUUUUCAGCCCUGGAGUUUCAUGCCUUAGACCGGCCCACUUUAGUUCACGACUGACUAUUAAAAUAAUAUCUUUAAACCCUCAGUAGUAUAAGUCUGCAGUAGUGCACUGUUCUCUGCAGCCUUGCAAUUCACUGUAUUUUUCAAUAAUUUCAUAUUCCGUGCAAAUGCAGUAAACAAUUAUAAUUUUUGCCAUAAUCAUGCAGACCUACCAUAGGACCAUAAUAUUACUAAAUUAAACUUAUUCAAAAACUAAAGGAAACAAAUGUGUUUGUGUUUUCCCCUAUAUUUCUAUUUCUAAAAAAUGGUGAGUCUUGAGAUUAACUGUUGGGUUGAUAACGUUUGGAAACCCCUGAUAUACAAUACACAAGCAAGAUUUAUUAAGUAUGCAUUGGAAACAAAUGGAAGAAAGUCUUUUAGUACUUAGAUCAUGUCUAUUGCUAAAUAACGUAGGCUAAGGUAGGCCUACAUUGUGUUAAAAAAAAGAAACAUCAUGGAUAUACUUUUGAAACUACUUUUUUCAAAUAAACUGAGUUUUGCAUUAAAUAGAUUUUUGUUCCUCUCGCAAUAAACGAUGAAUAAUGACUAUUCAUAGAAUAUUCAUCUAUGACUUGGAUAAAAAAAUACGUUUUGUAAAUUCUUUUCCUUUUAGAGGCCAGCCCGUUUGUAUUAAGACACGCUCAAGUUUAUUUAAAAUAUAAUAGACGCGCGGCCGGCAAGCGCACUCAAAAGACGCGCUCAAGUUUAUUUAAAAUAUAGACGCGUGUCCGGGGAGCGCACUCAAAAGACGCGCUCAAGUUUAUUUAAAAUAUAGACGCGUGGCCGGCAAGCGCACUCAAAAGACGCGCUCAAGUUUAUUUUAAAUAUAGAUGCGCGGCCGGCAAGCGCACUCAAUAUAGACGCGUCUGAAACAAAACUCGUUUUCAAGUAAGCGCUUUGAAAACCAGAAGACAGCGGCACGUCCUGCGUUUCCCAUGCGUUUUAGAUGUCAAUGAACCCUAAUGCAAGAAUUCUUCCAAUAAGUGGUCGGGACUCGGGACACAAUCAACUUGUGCAUAAAGCGGCGGGGACAUCUCUCACCCGCAAAUACGCGUCAUCCCGGUGGCAUGACAACACCGGCCCUCGUGGCCAAAAAAAACAGACCGGCCCACCGGGAAUCCUCCCGGUUCUCCCUAUGGCCAAUCCGGGCCUGGUGUCAUUUCAUACACUAGUCUUAUAUUGUUUAGUGAUAUUGGUGGUUAGUAUUUUGUGAAUAACAUUUAACCUAACUUACAGUUUAUACUUUGAGCUAUAUCUGGUUUAGCAUUGCAUUAGUUAAGUUUCUGUUUUCUUUUGUAUAUCACAUUUAACUAUCUGUUACAUUAGCUUUACAUUACAUCGUGUUCAUUUUCUGUAGUCUUAUUACAUAUUUAACUUUUGUAUAAUUGACUGCUUUAAAUCGUCUUUGGUAUCAGUAAAGCCCAGUUUCUGUUCAGUAAGUUAAGUCUAAUAACAUCUAUAUUUUAUAGUUGAUUUCACAAUUGUCUAUCUUUUGGGUGUCAUUUCAUACACUAGUCUUAUAUUGUUUAGUGAUAUUGGUGGUUAGUAUUUUGUGAAUAACAUUUAACCUAACUUACAGUUUAUACUUUGAGCUAUAUCUGGUUUAGCAUUGCAUUAGUUAAGUUUCUGUUUUCUUUUGUAUAUCACAUUUAACUAUCUGUUACAUUAGCUUUACAUUACAUUGUGUUCAUUUUCUGUAGUCUUAUUACAUAUUUAACUUUUGUAUAAUUGACUGCUUUAAAUCGUCUUUGGUAUCAGUAAAGCCCAGUUUCUAUUCAGUAAGUUAAGUCUAAUACCAUCUAAAUUUUAUAGUUGAUUUCACAAUUGUCUAUCUUUUGGGUGUCAUUUCAUACACUAGUCUUAUAUUGUUUAGUGAUAUUGGUGGUUAGUAUUUUGUGAAUAACAUUUAACCUAACUUACAGUUCAUACUUUGAGCAAUAUCUGGUUUAGCAUUGCAUUAGUUGAGUUUCUGUUUUCUUUUAUAUCACAUUUAACUAUCUGUUACAUUACAGACAGUAGAUUUUUUUGUUCAAUUUUCUAUAUUAGUAAAAUAUUUUUAGAUAAAUUGUUAAUACUUAUACAAGUUUCUGUUUUAUAUUUACUGUACAAUAUAUUCAUUGUUAGGUACAGUCAUAUGUUCCUUAUCAUAGAUUAAUUACAUAUUGUGUAAUAUUUCAUUCAAUAAAUACUAAACUAUA
Misgurnus anguillicaudatus (oriental weatherfish) is the source of this 4441-nucleotide long non-coding RNA. RefSeq lists it as uncharacterized. The record is from RefSeq and is a predicted model, not a curated record. NCBI's taxonomy places the organism in Eukaryota, Metazoa, Chordata, Actinopteri, Cypriniformes, Cobitidae.